RNAcentral lists this ribosomal RNA (253 nucleotides) under uncultured bacterium. RNAcentral's name for it is "partial 16S ribosomal RNA". It matches the Rfam family "Bacterial small subunit ribosomal RNA", at positions 524 to 776 of the family's 1533-position model. The record is from RNAcentral.
UACGGGGGGAGCAAGCGUUGUUCGGAUUUACUGGGCGUAAAGGGCGCGUAGGCGGUAGCACAAGUCAGUUGUGAAAUCUCCGGGCUUAACUCGGAAAGGUCAACUGAUACUGUGCGACUAGAGUGCAGAAGGGGCAACUGGAAUUCUCGGUGUAGCGGUGAAAUGCGUAGAUAUCGAGAGGAACACCUGCGGCGAAGGCGGGUUGCUGGGCUGACACUGACGCUGAGGCACGAAAGCGUGGGGAGCAAACAGG